AGCGAACGCUGGCGGCGUGCCUAACACAUGCCAGUCGAACGUGAAAAGGGAAACCUGAGUAAAGUGGCGUACGGGUGAGUAACGCGUAGGUAAUCUACCCCAGAAUCUGGAAUAACCUGCCGAAAGGCGGGCUAAUACUGGAUAGAGCGAGGGAACUCGUAAGAGAGUUUUUCGGGAAAGGGAGCCCGCAAGGGCCUUCGUUCUGGGAUGAGCCUGCGUCUCAUUAGCUAGUUGGUAAGGUAACGGCUUACCAAGGCGAUGAUGAGUAGCUGGUCUGAGAGGAUGAUCAGCCACACUGGAACUGAAACACGGUCCAGCCUCCUACGGGAGGCAGCAGUGCGGAAUCUUGCGCACUGGCCGAAAGUCUGACGCCGCCGCGCCGCGUGAGUGAAGAAGGCCUUCGGGUUGUAAAGCUCUGUCGGAUGGGACGAACAUCUUCAUAGUGAAUAGCUAUGAGGACUGACGGUACCAUCAAAGGAAGCACCGGCUAACUCCGUG
This 498-nucleotide ribosomal RNA is filed under the name uncultured bacterium. RNAcentral's name for it is "partial 16S ribosomal RNA". It matches the Rfam family "Bacterial small subunit ribosomal RNA", at positions 29 to 507 of the family's 1533-position model. The record is from RNAcentral.